This 553-nucleotide ribosomal RNA is filed under the name fungal sp. RNAcentral describes it as "eukaryotic LSU rRNA". The stretch from base 174 to 327 matches the Rfam family "5.8S ribosomal RNA". Lineage: Eukaryota; Fungi. The record is from RNAcentral.
CAUUACAGAGUUCUCGCCCUCGCGGGUAGAUCUCCCACCCACUGUUAUUGAUACUGUGUUGCUUUGGCGGGCCGCCGGGCCCUGCUCGGCCGCCGGCUCCGGCUGGCGCGCGCCCGCCAGAGGCUCCGCAAACUCUGAAUGUCAGCGUCGUCUGAGUACUAUAUAAUAGUUAAAACUUUCAACAACGGAUCUCUUGGUUCUGGCAUCGAUGAAGAACGCAGCGAAAUGCGAUAAGUAAUGCGAAUUGCAGAAUUCAGUGAGUCAUCGAAUCUUUGAACGCACAUUGCGCCCUGUGGUAUUCCGCAGGGCAUGCCUGUUCGAGCGUCAUUUCAACCCUCAAGCUCUGCUUGGUGUUGGGCCCUGCCCCCGCGGCCGGCCCUAAAGACAGUGGCGGCGCCGUCUGGCUCUAAGCGUAGUACAUCUCUCGCUCUAGCGCCCGGCGGUGGCCUGCCAGAACCCCAACUCUGUGGUUGACCUCGGAUCAGGUAGGGAUACCCGCUGAACUUAAGCAUAUCAAUAAGCGGAGGAAAAGAAACCAACAGGGAUUGCCUCA